UUUUUCUUUUUUUUUUUUUUUCACCCCUCUGUUUUUAUUAAAGCUGUUAUACACUUGUCCUCCCAUUUUAUUCCCUGUUAGGAGAUCAUCCAUCAAACCCAUGAAGUGACAAAGAUCCAGCAAGUCCGUGAAGUGACGAAGAUCCGCGCUGGAGAGCAUCUGAGGAUUCCAUGCCGACGGCCGGGUAGCCACAGCGAGGUCAUCCUCUCUCUGCAAAACUACAACCUUAUUACAUCACUGCAGCCUGCAAUUACUGUCGGAGUAGAGAAUGGCAAGCUGUCUGCUGAGGCAGAAUUAAACCAAUCCCAGCUGCGGCAGCUGCCCCACCGAGUGACCCUGGUUUUGCUCCGAGCAGACCGCGCUGGGGACCCUGCGCGGCUCCCUGGGACAGGAAGGGAAGGAGACCGCCACCCCCAGCUGAGCCACACCUAAGUCAAUUAGGGCUUCACACCCCGGGAGAGAAGGAAAUCCGUGACUAGGCUCCCUUUUCUCCUCUGAGGUCAAAGAGGAGGUUUUCCCCUCCACUGAGCGUUCAUUGUCUCGGAGAGGAAGUCUGACAUCCACACAAGUCUGCCUGGGGCUCAGGAGGAUUGAGGCAGACAAAGCACCCAAGAAACACUUGUAUUUCAGGUUCAUCAGGAUGGGCCUAUUCCAAGUGGAUUAAACACGCGGCGUGUGUGUAGGUUACGAAAGGCAUGCGAGAGGAACUGGCUAGCGUUUGGGGUUAUGAAAGAUCAGAGGUUAUGAAAGACCUUGGCAGUUAUGAAAGAUGAGCCAAGAGUCUGAUCCAGCAAGGCAGAGAGCAGCCUCAACCAGCUCGCAGGUGAAUGGACAGUCAAAGUCAGCCAGCAGCUCACAUCAGGAAGCUCACACUGCCUGGGCAGGCCUAGGCUAAGGAAGGUUUGAAAAAAUCAUGUACUAGGAGAAUGAUAAAGAGAAAUAUUACCAUUUAAAGGCCUUACAGCUGUAUUUUCUUGCAAAGUAUUUUGGAAAGUCUUAAAAUACUAGCUGCAGUUACUGCUUUUCUAAGUAUUCUUUACUGGCCUUCUAGUCCUGUUUUAAAUCUACCUGCACAAGCCACAUAGCUGCAGUAAAUCUGUAAAAAACGAGGGCUCAUUCAGAUAUUUUAGCCUCGCAAGUUCAGCUUCCCGUGAUCCUAUUAUCACUAUUCUACCACCAGAAUGAAAAGAAGGCUGGGGAAAUUCUGCUGUUGAAAUGCUUAUUUUCCAGACAUCACUUAGAAAGAGGACAUACUCCCGGCGAAGAAAAAUAUUGAGGAGAGCACUUCCCCCUCUUUGCAACAGUACUUCUCUGUGAAGUUGUGUGUAACUUUCUGUAGAUACCUUCAGUGGGGAUACUUGUGUAUCCUGCCUACUGCAUUGUAAUUCACACUGACUGCUUUUAAAACAUGCCUUAAACAGUCUUCCAAAUGCCCCUGUGAUAGUCUAAUAAAAACAAACCUCCAGGCAUUUAGGCAGACCCCAGGCAUACAGGAAGAAACCACUUGCACUACAUCAGAUUAGGAUCUAGCCUGUUUCAGCAAUAGGUAUAGACUUUUGUUGUUGGUAAAUUCUGUACCUAAAACUUUGUAGUUCAAGGAAAAACACAGAAAGCACUUCUAUCAUGGUCUGAGAUGCUUCCUGGAAUGCAAAACCAUGAUUACCUCUACAUCUUCUUUUUCACCGACGUUAAAGCUGUCUAUACUACAUCUCAGCAGUCCGCAAAUCUCACCAGAAAAUAUAUUUAUCCAUCUGGCCCUGCACAGAAACUCUCUAGGGAAGGUCCUGAAGACACCUCAUGCUAUGGCAGCAAUAAAAAGCACAAAUUUCCAGAACCUAGAAGAAACUCAGAUUAAGGAAGAAUCCAGACCAAUUCUAUGCUAUACUAGUCCAAAUUAUACUGCAUGUUUGUAGGGGUUUUGCACUUAAGGAAAUUAAUCAAACAUAGGAACGAUGCAAAUAUGCAUUUGGAGGAAACAAGUGACUUAGAACUAUCAGUCAGCAGAAAGAUUGACAAACAUUUGGUGAAGAUUUAUUCAACAAAAUUUCAUCAUUUCAUGCUUCAACCAAAUUUACACACUUUGUGUAGUAGUUAAUUCACCUUCUCAUAGUUUGUUACCAUUUUUUUUUUCCUGAUUCAAAAUGGGGACUACAAAAUAUUUCAUUAAGUAAACUGACAGCCUUACUGUCUUUGUGGCAUCCACUGCCAGGGUGCAGCUUAGAAAUUUAAAGAAUUAAGUUGAAUUCUUGUGGUACAAUCUACAAAGUUCACUCCCUUGCUUUAGAAGGAAAAGGUCUGAGUGUUUAAUUUUAGAAAGUGUCUAUUAUUUUUGUGAACUGCCUAGGCAAGCGUGUCCCUCUCAUCCCAAAAUCAUCUUUGUCCUACAAGAUAAAAAACAAAAGAAAGCAGGUCUAGAUUUAGGAUCUGUUACAUUAAGUAGACUACCCAUAUCAAUUUAAUUUAGCCUAGUCUCUAGGAAAUUAAUUAAUUUUGUGCUCAGAGAUAGGAAAUGUUGGUGUUAGGCAAUUUUCUUCAUGUAAAUUCGUUACUAAAUCAUCUCUAUUCUAGCCCUGAAAAUGAAACUCUCAACCACAAAGCAGGUGCUGAAAGACAAUAACAAAUUUCAUGCACUCUGUGUACCUAAUGCCUCUUUCAAAAAGCGACGCUGAUGGAUUCAGUCCCUGGGCUCUCUUUUUUCCCAUUCAAUGCCAAUGUGCAUCAGAACAAGUCAUUUGGAAAAGCCUCACUCUGACAGAUAAAGUGUGUGUUCCCAACACUCACUCGGUGUUUUAAGCACAACAGUCUGGCUGCUCUAUUGCAUAAGCACGAAUUCAUCCUGGGCUCCCCUCCUUCGGAGAGGCGGAUCCAGAAUCGCUCAGCUCUGUUCCCUGUUCUGCCGGCAUGGCAAUUUGGCUUAUACGGGUUCUGGAACAGCGGGUUCUCAAUUCUCUUCUUCUCAUCC
Molecule: long non-coding RNA, 2962 nt
Filed under: Taeniopygia guttata (zebra finch)
Lineage: Eukaryota; Metazoa; Chordata; Aves; Passeriformes; Estrildidae
Description: lncRNA (ENSTGUG00000021960.1)
Source: RNAcentral